CACUAAAGUAAUGAGAGUUGGAGAAUUAGUUCCAUGUUGAGACGAGCCGUUAUUUAAAUCAACCUUUAACAUUUCUAUCCGACAUGAUAAAAACUACAAAUUCUUAUCGAGUAUGCCAAUACAAAACCAAGUUUAAGAUAUGAAUAACACGCUGUGGACUCACUUUGACCAAUCAUCUUCAAUGUCCGCUAAACAAUUAACAAUUGUGAUAACCACAUUGACUUAUCUCUUCACUUAUAAAAAUGUCAAAUUUUGGUGUAGAAAUGAGGUGAUAGAUCAGAUGCAUUUUGCAGAUAUCAUUGUUCAUAGCAUCAUAAACUAUUUGAUAUAUCAAACUACAAGAAAAAUAACAAAGAUAGAUUAUUUUGUAAUUAAAGACUUCCAACGCAACAACCUAACGACAUGGGGAUUCAUUUUAUUAAGGGAAGAUGAGAUUAUUUAUAAUAAAACAUUACAUCCCGUUCGCAAAAUGGAAGUGUCAAAUUUAAUAGCACGUGAAACGAUAUCUCAUUGGUACGAUAAUGUGUUUCUGUGGUCAAAAGAAGGAUUUCUUACAGCAUACAUUUUGAAUCAGAGUGAGUUAUUAUAUCGCGCUAUGGACCUAUUUGUUGUCCAAACACAUGAGGAAUCUUUACGUUUUGAUACUCUUCCUACAGAUUCU
Molecule: non-coding RNA, 661 nt
Organism: Linepithema humile (Argentine ant)
Lineage: Eukaryota; Metazoa; Arthropoda; Insecta; Hymenoptera; Formicidae
Source: RefSeq, a predicted model, not a curated record